AAAAAAAUAAGCUAAUUAAGCUAAUAGGUUCAUACCCUAUUUAUAAAGGUCAAACCCUUUUUUUUUUA
Molecule: transfer RNA, 68 nt
Filed under: Aspidiphorus orbiculatus
Lineage: Eukaryota; Metazoa; Arthropoda; Insecta; Coleoptera; Sphindidae
Description: tRNA-Met
Rfam family: tRNA
About the family: Transfer RNA (tRNA) molecules are approximately 80 nucleotides in length. Their secondary structure includes four short double-helical elements and three loops (D, anti-codon, and T loops).
Source: RNAcentral